Pezoporus flaviventris is the source of this 1837-nucleotide long non-coding RNA. RefSeq lists it as uncharacterized. The transcript is spliced from 4 exons. NCBI's taxonomy places the organism in Eukaryota, Metazoa, Chordata, Aves, Psittaciformes, Psittacidae. The record is from RefSeq and is a predicted model, not a curated record.
ACAUUUCCACAUCUUCAGGGAUUUCACACAACAAGGUUAGAGUUUUGUUUCCCCUGGAACUGAAAUUAAACCGCUCUGGAGCUGGAAACCAACUCUUGAAAAUCACUGCCAGCAGAGCAGGCCAGGAGGAGAAAAAAUACAGUAUCCCAAAAGUGAGCUACACGGAAUAGUAAAAAUCCAUAAAGAAGAAGGAAAUUGACAUGCCAGAGCAAAGCUCAGAACUAGGAAGGGUUGAUGCUGAUCAUGGACACUGUACUCCCCAAAAGGAGUCAGGCUUCGGCCCUGGGAUUCUGUGCUGAAGGAGCCUGUGUCACACCUGCUGGCCUCUUCUUCCACAUUUCAUCUGGCAAAACACAGGGCCUCAGAAACUCUUCACUGGCAUAUAGAGAUGCCAUCUGCCAACAGCAGUGUCAGGACAAGAGGACUGUACCCUUUCAAGACAAAGAGUUCAAUGCUGAACCUUAAAUCCGAGCCUUCUGCUCUUGCCAGUGGGACAAAUUCCACUUUUUUUCCAGUUCAUCUGUAAAACAUGAGGAGCCAGCUGAGCAUAGUGUUGGUUCAGAAUGAGAGCAGCUGACAAGGGAAAGGUAAAAGGAACUUGUAACUGCUGCAGUUCUAAGAAAUUAUUUCAGUGUGACAAAAAAAUCUAACAACUUCCAAAGGAUGCAGGAAGGCACUAGGACAUCAUCCAACAUUCCCUAACAUAGCAGCCUCCAAGGUAUAAUUAAUGCAUUUAAACACAGGCCACCAACUCCUGUUGUCUCAUGUUUUCUAGAGGUGCCUGAUCCUGUUGUCCUCUCAUGCUUGGUUACAAAGGGCUGCAAACAAGGAGGAGGCAGCUCUGAGAGUGGGAGCAGAGUUAAUGGUCAGAACUUGGGUGCAGGUGGAAAAGCAGGACAUGAAAGAGAAGCUUGGAUAGAAAAAGUCCUGGACCUACUGCUUUAGCUUACACAUAAGAUAUUGGGGUAUUUUGGGGGGUGAAUUCUAACUCGCAUGCUCUUUUAUAUAUGUUGCAGACCGCUGUGUGUUACUUUGAUUCAGGGACCAUGAUACCCAAAGCCUGCUCUUCAUACACAAGGUACCUUCCAAAUGUUCCUUCAUUCUCAGAGACUUAGAAAAUUAAUCUUCAAGGCAAACUGUAAAAGACCAGAUCAUGAGCAGCGUGUGGAGCUUCCCAUGGAGCACCCUGCUCCUCUCUGGCUACACCUCCUCCUCCAACCCUAGCUGUUUCUCCAUCUCCUUAACACAGAGAGGUAGAAUGGCACAAAGCAUUUCCCAGGGAACUGUCCCCACUAAUAGUGACAACAGUGCUGAAGUGGAGCCUGAAUCCCAUCAGCGGGAAAGCCCCCUCACAUCCAGACAGCAGCACUGAUCAGAGAGUCUGGGACUCCCAGGAUGUUACAGUGUGCUAUUAGAGAGGGAUAUUCAGAAACAGUCUAAUUAGUUGCAUUUUCUUUUCUAACCUCAGUCAAAAACCAGUCAGAUUCUGCUUUAGAUUUUGACAUCCUAUUAAAUGCGGAACACAGGCCAAUAGCUUUCAUUUUCCCCUGUGAUGCUACAGACUCCUGUUUUUAUAGUUUGACAGAGAGACAUAAUUAGGCCUCAGAAAGGACAAGUCUAGACUAUUAGUUCCCCACAGAGGCUCCCUGGAAAGUCAGAACCCACAAUUAUUCUCCACUUUCCCACUGAGACAAAUUUGUGGGUAUCUAUCUGCUCUCCUGCCUCUGAUACCCUGCUCAUAACCUUUAAGCCUGAGACUUUACACUCUGUUCUCUUAAAGGGCACAACAACAGACAGGUGUUGGACUUUCCAAAGGGACAAGAGCAAGGUAAGGACA